AUUCCUUGAAGUCAAACUGAUUAAUAAAUCAUUGCCGAAAAUUUUGGGAUCAUUUCAGUGACUUCUGUACCAAUUAAAGUAAUUACCGUGUUUGAUUGUUACUUUAAUAUUCCUUUUUGGGAUUAUUUGGAAUCACGUCACCAACACAAUCAUGCAAAACUGUUUAGGCGAACCAAUUCAUCACAUAUAAAUAGGUUCCUAAUAAUCUUUGAGUGGAAACCCUCAAGAUCACCGAGGGUUCUUUUUCUGGACUCACUCAAUUUAACUAAGACGCAGACGUCACGUCAUUAGUUUGGGGCGUAAU
Photinus pyralis (common eastern firefly) is the source of this 304-nucleotide long non-coding RNA. RefSeq lists it as uncharacterized. The record is from RefSeq and is a predicted model, not a curated record. The transcript has 3 exons. Lineage: Eukaryota; Metazoa; Arthropoda; Insecta; Coleoptera; Lampyridae.